This 783-nucleotide ribosomal RNA is filed under the name uncultured archaeon. Its description in RNAcentral is "bacterial SSU rRNA". It matches the Rfam family "Archaeal small subunit ribosomal RNA", at positions 109 to 879 of the family's 1478-position model. The record is from RNAcentral.
CGGGCUCCUUUGGCGACACCCCGGGAACUGGGGCUACUGUUCCGAUAGGUAAAGCACCCUGGAAUGGGUUUUCGCUCAAAGGGCGCUUGGGGCAUGCUUCUAAGCGUUGCCUAAGGAUGGGGCCGCGGCCGAUCAGGUUGUUGGUGAGGUAACGGCUCACCAAGCCUUUAACCGGUACGGGCCGUGGGAGCGGUAGCCCGGAGAUGGGCACUGAGACAAGGGCCCAGGCCCUACGGGGCGCAGCAGUCGCGAAAACUUCGCAAUAAGCGAAAGCUUGACGGGGCUAUCCCGAGUGCCAUCUGCUGAGGAUGGCUUUUACCCAGUGUAGAUAGCUGGGGGAAUAAGGAGAGGGCAAGUCUGGUGUCAGCCGCCGCGGUAAUACCAGCUCUCCGAGUUGUGGGGACGAUUAUUGGGCCUAAAGCAUCCGUAGCCGGCUGGGCAAGUCCUCUGUUAAACCCAGCGACUAAUCGUUGGUUUGCGGGGGAUACUGCUUGGCUAGGGGGCGGGAGAGGCCGUCGGUAUUCUCGGGGUAGGGGUGAAAUCCUAUAAUCCCGAGAAGACCACCAGUGGCGAAGGCUGUCGGCUAGAACGCGCCCGACGGUGAGGGAUGAAAGCUGGGGGAGCGAACCGGAUUAGAUACCCGGGUAGUCCCAGCUGUAAACGAUGCAGGCUAGGUGUUAGGGCGGCUACGGGCCGCUCUAGUGCCGCAGGGAAGCUGUUAAGCCUGCCGCCUGGGGAGUACGGUCGCAAGGCUGAAACUUAAAGGAAUUGGCGGGGGAGCAC